ACACGCGAUAAACAAUUCACUAAGAGAAAAGAUUACAAGGUGAUUACCGACUCCACGGACUCUGCCUCUCUUAACCUCCUAUGAAUCUCGCGCAAUCCUCCGGGUUGUCCACGCCCUCACGUUCGAAUCCACGAACACCUCCACUCCGAAUCCACGAAGCUUCAAUCACGCCGAAUCCACGACGCCACUCGAAUCCACGAGCCCACGAUCCGAAUCCACGAACCGCCGUCAAACACGUCGAAUCCACGACGCCACCAUGAAGAAUAUCAUGAAUAU
This 276-nucleotide long non-coding RNA is filed under the name Ananas comosus (pineapple). RNAcentral describes it as "long non-coding RNA (ACOM_LNC003511)". The record is from RNAcentral. Lineage: Eukaryota; Viridiplantae; Streptophyta; Magnoliopsida; Poales; Bromeliaceae.